This 2768-nucleotide long non-coding RNA is filed under the name Prunus dulcis (almond). RNAcentral's name for it is "sRNA ncRNA". The record is from RNAcentral. Lineage: Eukaryota; Viridiplantae; Streptophyta; Magnoliopsida; Rosales; Rosaceae.
AAAAAGGCAAAAAAGGAGAAUCCCAUUUCAAUUUUGCCCGCUUUCCCAUCUUUUGCCCUCUGCCUCGCUUUCAAUCUCUUCAUCUUCUUUACAGUGGCUCACCGUUACGCAGCCCAACUGCAGCUAUGCUGCCCUCAAAGCCCCGUCUCAUACUCUAUAGCUCGAACGACCCAUGCCCACAUGAUAGCAUCUGGGUUCAAGCCACGUGGUCAUAUUCUUAACCGCUUGAUUGAUGUCUACUGUAAAUCUUCAAAUUUUAGUUAUGCCCACCAACUGUUCGAUCAAAUUCCAAAACCAGACAUUGUUGCUAGAACCACCUUGAUUACGGCGUACUCUGCCAUUGGGAAUCUAACUCUGGCUCGGAAGAUAUUCAAUGAAACUCCAUUGAGCAUGCGAGACACUGUUUGUUACAAUGCGAUGAUCACAGGCUAUUCUCGUAACAAUGAUGGCUAUGCCUCUAUUAGACUAUUUUGUGAGAUGAGGCAAGGUGGUUUUAGGCCAGACGAUUUCACAUAUACGACUGUACUAAGUGGUGCGGCACAGAUAGUGGAUGUUGAAAAGCAGUGCCAGCAACUACAUUGUGCAGUAGUUAAGUCAGGAACAGGGUUUGCCACUUCGGUGUGGAAUGCGCUGUUAUCUGUUUAUGUUAGAUGUGCUUCUUCACCAUUAGUAUCAUCAUCAUCAUUGAUGGGUGAAGCUAGGAAUUUGUUUAAUGAGAUGCCUGAGAGAGAUGAACUAUCAUGGACAACGAUGAUUACUGGGUACAUAAGGAAUGAAGACCUUCAUGCAGCUCGGGAAUUGCUAGAUGGGAUGGAUGAAAGGAUGGAAGUUGUAUGGAAUGCGAUGAUUUCGGGUUAUGCUCACCACAAUUCUUUUCAAGAAGCAUUGCUAUUGUUUAGGAAAAUGCGGUUACUGGGGAUUCAUCAGGAUGAAUUUACAUACACUAGUGUUAUUAGUACUUGCGCUAAUAAUGGACUAUUUCAGCUUGGGAAGCAGGUGCAUGCUUACAUACUUAGAACCGAAGCGAAGCCUACUGUGGAUUUUUCAUUAUCUGUGAACAAUACAUUGCUUACACUAUAUUACAAAUGUGGUAAACUUGAUGAAGCACAGUAUAUUUUUAAUAAUAUGCCUGUUAAAGAUCUUGUUUCUUGGAAUGCAAUCCUUUCAGGGUAUGUUAGUGCAGGGCGCAUCCAGGAAGCAAAAUCCUUUUUUAAGGAAAUGCCAGAGAGGAGCAUUCUGACAUGGACUGUGAUGAUAUCUGGUUUAGCUCAAAAUGGAUUAGGAGAAGAAGCGAUGAAGCUAUUCAACCAAAUGCGAUUAGAAGGUUUUGAACCGUGUGAUUAUGCAUUUUCUGGAGCAAUUACAUCUUGUGCUGCGCUUGGAGCAUUGGAGCAUGGACGCCAGCUCCAUGCUCAACUAAUUAGCUUGGGGUUUGAUUCAAGCCUUUCAGCUGCAAAUGCACUCAUCACAAUGUAUGCAAGAUGCGGAGUUUUCGAGGAUGCGAACUCUGUGUUUCUUACCAUGCCUUAUAUUGAUUCAGUGUCUUGGAAUGCUACGAUUGCAGCUCUGGCCCAACAUGGACAUGGUGUUCAAGCAAUAGACCUUUUUGAAAAAAUGUUGAAGGCAGAUAUACUACCAGAUAGAAUAACUUUCCUCAUCAUUCUAUCAGCUUGUAGUCAUGCUGGUUUAGUCAAGGAAGGGCGCCAUUAUUUUAGUUCAAUGCGUGUCUCUUAUGGUAUUAGCCCUGAUGAAGGCCAUUAUGCUCGCAUGAUUGAUCUGUUGUGUCGAUGUGGGGAGUUCACAGAAGCCAAGGGCUUGAUUGAAUCAAUGCCUUUUGAGCCAGGUGCACCGAUUUGGGAGGCUCUUCUUGCUGGUUGUCGGACUCAUGGGAAUAUGGAUUUAGGAAUUCAAGCAGCAGAACGACUCUUUGAGUUGGUGCCACAACACGAUGGAACUUACAUACUUUUGUCGAACCUGUAUGCCGCUAUAGGCCGUUGGGAUGAUGUGGCUAAGGUGCGGCAACUAAUGAGAGAUCGAGGGGUUAAGAAAGAGCCUGGUUGUAGUUGGAUUGACGUUGAAAACAUGGUCCACGUCUUCUUAGUUGGUGAUACUGUGCACCCUGAGGUCCAAGCCGUGUACAAAUAUCUUGAGCAACUAGGACUUGAAAUGAGGAAGUUAGGAUAUCUCCCUGACACAAAGUUUGUGUUGCAUGAUAUGGAGUCUGAGCAUAAGGAGUAUUCCUUGUCCACUCACAGUGAGAAGCUUGCAGUUGCAUUUGGGCUCAUGAAGCUUCCUCUCGGAGCCACAAUCAGAGUUUUUAAGAAUCUUAGGAUUUGUGGGGAUUGCCAUACUGCAAUUAAGUUUAUGUCAAGAGUGGUUGGAAGAGACAUAAUUGUGAGGGAUGCGAAGAGGUUUCAUCAUUUUAGGAAUGGUGAAUGCUCUUGUGGCAAUUACUGGUAAUCUGGCCCGAGCUUGAUGGGAGGAGGUUUUAUAAAUACUUGGCGGGUUGAUCCCCUCAACCACCAGGUGAAGCUUUGUGAUUUCGGAAGUGAAAAAGUUCUGGUGUGUUUGUCUUCAUGACAUUUUACACUUGCAUUCAAUCAUGUCAUGACACUACGUUUUAGAACUGAUAGGCAGAAUGACCAGUUGCUUUUAUGAUGGAUAAUCUUUUCUUGUUGAUAAACCGAUUGUCAAUCACCUGUCCAUUUGGUGAAAAUUAAUGCAUGGCUUCAACUCAAGAUAUUAGGACUUGUUUGAAUUAAUGUCUG